Molecule: ribosomal RNA, 519 nt
Filed under: uncultured eukaryote
Lineage: Eukaryota
Description: SSU rRNA
Rfam family: Eukaryotic small subunit ribosomal RNA
Source: RNAcentral
AGGGCACCACCAGGAGUGGAGCCUGCGGCUUAAUUUGACUCAACACGGGAAAUCUCACCAGGCCCGGACACCGGAAGGAUUGACAGAUUGAGAGCUCUUUCUUGAUUCGGUGGGUGGUGGUGCAUGGCCGUUCUUAGUUGGUGGAGCGAUUUGUCUGGUUAAUUCCGAUAACGAACGAGACUCUGGCCUACUAACUAGACGUUGGAUCCCUUUGUGGGUCCAUCGCAGCUUCUUAGAGGGACGGGCGGCGUUUAGCCGCACGAGAUUGAGCAAUAACAGGUCUGUGAUGCCCUUAGAUGUUCUGGGCUGCACGCGCGCUACACUGAAGGAAUCAGCGUGUGUUCCCUAUCUGAAAGGAUUGGGAAACCCGUUGAACCUCCUUCGUGAUGGGGAUUGGGGAUUGCAAUUAUUCCCCAUGAACGAGGAAUUCCCAGUAGGCGCGAGUCAUAAGCUUGCGUCGAUUACGUCCCUGCCCUUUGUACACACCGCCCGUCGCUACUACCGAUCGAGUGAUUUAGU